CUUUCCAUAAAUUGAAGGUUUUUUAGGUUGAUGCUCAUAAAAAUGCUGUUUCUCCUCUUUUCUCUGUUGCCAAAUGAAAGUCUGAAAGCAGUUUGAUUCACUGUCAACAUCUACACAAGGAAAUCCAGGACACGUGUCCCUUGAUUUAAGAGCUUCAGCACAAUCAACCUGACAUUCUACAACACUGCCGUGUGUAAGCGUGUCUGGAUGCUGGGGUGAAAUCUGACUCCAGGUUUGGGAGGGAUAGCAUCUGGAGAGCACCUAAAGCACUCCGCCCACCACUCCCAAACCUCCCGUCCAAACGGUUCGAGGACCGCCAGGACACAGAAUCAACAGAUUAAAAUGAUAUGAAAGGCGCCAUGCAACAUACAAAACACAUAAUGAAGUCUACGAUUUGAAGCAG
Rhinichthys klamathensis goyatoka is the source of this 403-nucleotide long non-coding RNA. RefSeq lists it as uncharacterized. The record is from RefSeq and is a predicted model, not a curated record. The transcript is spliced from 3 exons. Lineage: Eukaryota; Metazoa; Chordata; Actinopteri; Cypriniformes; Leuciscidae.